Schizosaccharomyces pombe (fission yeast) is the source of this 592-nucleotide non-coding RNA. The record is from the annotation of a GenBank genome assembly. Lineage: Eukaryota; Fungi; Ascomycota; Schizosaccharomycetes; Schizosaccharomycetales; Schizosaccharomycetaceae.
CAAAGACUGUUUUUAGAGUUUUUAAGGCAUUAAAUUGGGCUGGAGACAAUACUUCAUGAGAAAUUAUCUUUGAUAAUGCAGCAUGAGAGACUAAAAUUGUACCAUGACCAUUUGCUUCAAAAAAUACUCCAACAUCGUAAGCUUGAGCAGCAUGGUAAAGAUGCUUAAGACCGGGAGACACACAUAAAACCGGUACCUUUAAAGUUUUUUGGAAAAAUGCCGUGCUGGCUCCAUUUGCAUAAGCAGUCUGAACAAUACCAACUUGAAGGUCCAAACCAGUAGAACGGAUUAGGUCGAUUAGAAAUUGGGCAAAUAAAGCGCAUAUUUUGUCACCAUCUAACAGAUGAAAGCUGUGAGAGCCAAACGCAAAAUACACAAUUCGAUCAGCAUCCCCGUCAAAAGAGGCACAACGGGCAUGUUUUGGGGCACUAAUACCGUUUGGAGGCUUUUGCUGAGUCCUUACAAAAUCCGCUCCACACUAGUAAAUUAGCAUGCAAUUGUAAACAAUGUAUCAAAAAAACUUACCGAGUUAUUCAACAGUUCAGGAUUAUCAAUAUUGUCGUUUACGAUUUCGAUAGGAAACAGCUUUGGA